RNAcentral lists this small RNA (117 nucleotides) under Pongo abelii (Sumatran orangutan). RNAcentral describes it as "Metazoan signal recognition particle RNA (ENSPPYG00000033130.1)". The record is from Rfam by way of RNAcentral. Lineage: Eukaryota; Metazoa; Chordata; Mammalia; Primates; Hominidae.
GCUGGGCAUGGUGGCGCAUGCCUGUAAUCCUAGCACUUUCGGAGGCUGAGGUGGGCGGAUCGCUUGAGCCCAGGAGUUUGAGACCAGCCUGGGCAACAUGGUGAAACCCCUUCUCUA